This 467-nucleotide ribosomal RNA is filed under the name uncultured bacterium. Its description in RNAcentral is "partial 16S ribosomal RNA". It matches the Rfam family "Bacterial small subunit ribosomal RNA", at positions 28 to 507 of the family's 1533-position model. The record is from RNAcentral.
GACGAACGCUGGCGGCGUGCUUAACACAUGCAAGUCGAACGGAAAGGCCCUGCUUUUGUGGGGUGCUCGAGUGGCGAACGGGUGAGUAACACGUGAGUAACCUGCCCUUGACUUUGGGAUAACUUCAGGAAACUGGGGCUAAUACCGGAUAGGAGCUCCUGCUGCAUGGUGGGGGUUGGAAAGUUUCGGCGGUUGGGGAUGGACUCGCGGCUUAUCAGCUUGUUGGUGGGGUAGUGGCUUACCAAGGCUUUGACGGGUAGCCGGCCUGAGAGGGUGACCGGCCACAGUGGCACAGGGGUGGGGGCAGGAGGCAAACGGGAGGAAGGAGUGGAGAAUAUUGCCAAAUGGGCGGAGGGCGGAUGGAGGACCGUCGGGUGGGGAAUCACGGCUUUCGGGGAGUAAAACGUUUUGGCGUGUGACGAAGCGUGAGUGCGGGAAAUGGGGAAAGAGGCACGGGUUACUUCGGG